GAGUCUGUAGCUCAGCUGGAUAGAGCAACGGCCUUCUAAGCCGUAGGUCGCGGGUUCGAAUCCCUCCAGGCUCGCCA
This 77-nucleotide transfer RNA is filed under the name Clostridiales bacterium. RNAcentral describes it as "tRNA-Arg". It matches the Rfam family "tRNA". Rfam says of the family: Transfer RNA (tRNA) molecules are approximately 80 nucleotides in length. Their secondary structure includes four short double-helical elements and three loops (D, anti-codon, and T loops). Further hydrogen bonds mediate the characteristic L-shaped molecular structure. tRNAs have two regions of fundamental functional importance: the anti-codon, which is responsible for specific mRNA codon recognition, and the 3' end, to which the tRNAs corresponding amino acid is attached (by aminoacyl-tRNA synthetases). tRNAs cope with the degeneracy of the genetic code in two manners: having more than one tRNA (with a specific anti-codon) for a particular amino acid; and 'wobble' base-pairing, i.e. permitting non-standard base-pairing at the 3rd anti-codon position. RNAcentral also lists the same sequence under 1 other name. Lineage: Bacteria; Bacillati; Bacillota; Clostridia; Eubacteriales. The record is from RNAcentral.